CGCCGUAAACGAUGAGCACUAGUUGUUGGGUCCGAAUGGAUUCAGUGACGCAGUUAACGCAAUAAGUGCUCCGCCUGGGGAGUACGGUGGCAACACUAAAACUCAAAGGAAUUGACGGGGACCCGCACAAGCAGCGGAGCAUGUGGUUUAAUUCGAAGCAACGCGAAAAACCUUACCAGGGCUUGACAUCCCUCUGACAGAUCCUUAACCGGAUCCUUCUUCGGACAGAGGAGACAGGUGGUGCAUGGUUGUCGUCAGCUCGUGUCGUGAGAUGUUGGGUUAAGUCCCGCAACGAGCGCAACCCUUGUCGUCAGUUACUAACAUUAAGUUGAGGACUCUGACGAGACUGCCGAGGUUAACUCGGAGGAAGGUGGGGAUGACGUCAAAUCAUCAUGCCCCUUAUGUUCUGGGCUACACACGUGCUACAAUGGUCGGUACAAUGAGAAGCAAGAUGGCGACAUGGAGCAAAUCACCAAAACCGAUCUCAGUUCGGAUUGCAGGCUGCAACUCGCCUGCAUGAAGUCGGAGUUGCU
RNAcentral lists this ribosomal RNA (533 nucleotides) under uncultured bacterium. RNAcentral's name for it is "bacterial SSU rRNA". It matches the Rfam family "Bacterial small subunit ribosomal RNA", at positions 798 to 1336 of the family's 1533-position model. The record is from RNAcentral.